This 342-nucleotide ribosomal RNA is filed under the name uncultured bacterium. RNAcentral's name for it is "bacterial SSU rRNA". It matches the Rfam family "Bacterial small subunit ribosomal RNA", at positions 467 to 807 of the family's 1533-position model. The record is from RNAcentral.
AAAUGACGUGUACCUGAAGAAUAAGCAUCGGCUAACUCCGUGCCAGCAGCCGCGGUAAGACGGAGGAUGCAAGUGUUAUCCGGAAUCACUGGGCGUAAAGCGUCUGUAGGUGGUUUAAUAAGUCAACUGUUAAAUCUUGAAGCUUAACUUCAAAAUCGCAGUCGAAACUGUUAAACUAGAGUAUAGUAGGGGUAAAGGGAAUUUCCAGUGGAGCGGUGAAAUGCGUAGAGAUUGGAAAGAACACCGAUGGCGAAGGCACUUUACUGGGCUAUUACUGACACUCAGAGACGAAAGCUAGGGUAGCAAAUGGGAUUAGAUACCCCAGUAGUCCUAGCCGUAAAC